AAUAAACUUACGAUAAGUCAUUUGUCUCUUGAGAAUCGAACGUUGAUCUUGCUUUAAUGAUAUUGAGAAACUGAUAAAACUUAGAGUCGAUCGGUUUAAUCACACGGCUGAUCGUUCAGAAUUAAAGAACGUCGCUCGAAUCUAAUUCAAACUGAACAUUUAUCGUUAGAAUCUAACGAGACGAAUUACACGUUUCACGCGAAAGAUAUUUACAAAAAUAUGGAAGUUUCACAAAUAGACGAAAAACAGAUAAAAAGUGACCUCUAUUUACCAUUGCGAAUGCAAUGAGCGAUAAAUAAGAGAAAAAUUCUCUAAAAAAAAAAAAAAAAAUUCUUGUGAAGAGUCUAGGCAUUGGUCGAAAUGAGGAAAGAAAAUCACGAUAUU
RNAcentral lists this unclassified non-coding RNA (384 nucleotides) under Bombus terrestris (buff-tailed bumblebee). RNAcentral's name for it is "misc RNA ENSBTSG00005032194.1". Lineage: Eukaryota; Metazoa; Arthropoda; Insecta; Hymenoptera; Apidae. The record is from RNAcentral.